Molecule: long non-coding RNA, 971 nt
Organism: Chinchilla lanigera (long-tailed chinchilla)
Lineage: Eukaryota; Metazoa; Chordata; Mammalia; Rodentia; Chinchillidae
Exons: 2
Source: RefSeq, a predicted model, not a curated record
CUCGUCCUGGCAGGUUGACAGCAAGGGGAACAGGCGCGGGCAGCGGCCGAGUAGUCCCAGAGUCCCAGAUCCCGUCCUGCCUCCCUCGGGGACCUGGCCGCCGCCGCACCGUGCCGGAGAGCCGGUUCCAACCGCCUGGGCGGGGUGAACAGGGGCCACGCGCGGGAGAGUGGAGCUGCGUUGUUUUUAGAAAACUGCGCCAAUCUCUCUUCCCCUUUCCCCGCUGAGUGUGCACGUCCCAGCCUAGACCUGGCAGGAGGACACCUAACGCCCCCGACUGCGCAGCCCGUGAGGGGCAGCCCCACUCCCACCCUGCUCCACCGCCGCGCUGCUCCCUCCGCCGUUCUCCGGAAGGGCUCCUCCAACGGCCGAGGCACAGAAAACGCCUGUCUUCCUGCUCACCAGCCUUUACCGGCCUUUCCCCGACCAACUAAUAAGACAUGCACUGUGUACUAUGGGGGAGAUCUGAAGAGAAGAUGAAGAAUGGAGGGAAGUUGGCAGUAAAUCAAGUGGAAGACAAAUCAUGACACAAUUUGGCAGUGGAUCUUUUAUGUUAUCCCCGGCUUCAGUACCAGUGGUGUAUUACUUUUUCACAAUAUUUUUCAGACAAUCUUGAGCUUAAUUGCCAACUUGUUCAUGAGCUCAGAAGCUCUACACAGAGAGUAUCAUGUUUUUGAGAAGAAGGCUUCUGGGCAAUUUCUGUUUCUUCAUAGAGUUAUUGGAUGGAAUCAUACUGAUGAAGCUGUGGUUACAGCAAACAUUCUCAAUAUUAUGAAGUCCAGGAGGUGGGUUUUUUUUGCUAACAUAAAAAUAUUCCUCAGCCACAUGCUGGCCCAACACACAAGGGGGGGAUUUGGACUGGAGCUUCUUCACCUAUCCAACAAAAGAUAUAUUUGCUGCAAUUUUGACAACCACAUCCCUUUGUGAAGGCUGCUCUUGGAAAAAGUAUAAAUAAAAUAAAGUUUUAUAAA